This 468-nucleotide ribosomal RNA is filed under the name uncultured bacterium. Its description in RNAcentral is "partial 16S ribosomal RNA". It matches the Rfam family "Bacterial small subunit ribosomal RNA", at positions 28 to 507 of the family's 1533-position model. The record is from RNAcentral.
GACGAACGCUGGCGGCGUGCUUAACACAUGCAAGUCGAACGGAAAGGCCCUGCUUUUGUGGGGUGCUCGAGUGGCGAACGGGUGAGUAACACGUGAGUAACCUGCCCUUGACUUUGGGAUAACUUCAGGAAACUGGGGCUAAUACCGGAUAGGAGCUGCUGUUGCAUGGUGGGGGUUGGAAAGUUUCGGCGGGCGGGGAUGGACGGGCGGCUUAUCAGCUAGUUGGUUGGGUAGUGGCAUACCAAGGCUUUGACGGGUAGCCGACCGGUGAGCGUGACCGGCCACAUUGGUACUGAGAGACGGCCCAGACUGCAACGGGAGGCAGCGGUGGGGAAUAUUGCACAAUGGGCGGGAGCCUGAUGCAGCAACGCCGCGUGCGGGAUGACGGCCUUCGGGUUGUGAACCGCUUUCGCCUGUGACGAAGCGUGAGUGACGGUAAUGGGUAAAGAAGCACCGGCUAACUACGUG